Long non-coding RNA from Pseudoliparis swirei, 1173 nucleotides. RefSeq lists it as uncharacterized. The record is from RefSeq and is a predicted model, not a curated record. The transcript has 5 exons. Lineage: Eukaryota; Metazoa; Chordata; Actinopteri; Perciformes; Liparidae.
AUUGCUUAUUUUCUUCUACACACUACUGCAUAACACAUGGAAGCGUUGCCAGAUUGAGUCCAUGUCUUCACACAGAGUGUCUCCUGUGACGACCAUGAAGGGCCGAUGAGGGGAGCUGAUGAAAUCUGUUCAAUCUAGAAGCCACUAGUUUUCUGCCCAGUGUGAUGUAGUAUGUUGUAAUGUGUUUACUGUAGGUCUAAUAUGACUACAUCUUAAUUUAUUUCUCUUUCCGUUAGAUUCUGGCUGAGUUCUGUCGCUUAUCAAGCAAAAAUCUGAGUUGCAAUCAGAGUUCUUCAAAGAUCUCGACAAAUAUACUCCUCGCUUCCUGGAGAAGUUCAAAACCCAGAGGGGGAAAGUGUCGGACAGAAACUUGAAUAUCUGCAACAAGUCACACCUGGGAGUACAGAUGUGACUGGGAGGUGAACAGCAGUCCUCCGUGGCUCUCCCGUCAUCCUUGGAGAUGACAACGCAGACUUCUUCAAGAAUUUGAGGUUCAGGAGCAGCCAAUAUGAUGCAGGUGUGACGGCUGAAGAUGGUGUGAGUUUAGGAUGGCAUGAAGCUUCGACUUGACCCUAUGGAAACACAGCAGAUGCCACCAAAGGGUCCUGAUCGGGGACUCUGAUGACCUUCUGGACGUGUCCCACGCCUCCAUUGGGACCCUGACAGUGCUGAAGACAUCGUGGCCUCCUCACUCGCUGAACCUGGAGUCUACAGCUACUGCCAUCGUUUUGGGAGGAACAGUCGUGAUGGGUGACCGUGAUAAUCUUCCCCGUGCCGUGUGGCUACUCUUCGGACUUAUUUACCCCUGAAUUUGGAGUAUCCUCAACGAGUGAGGAACACCUUCUGAAUUUAUUCAUAGAGUGCUUCUCACUUGGACCAAAAACCCUAAAAUACAAUCACUCAAAAAUCUACUGAUGCCAUAAGGGACUGUGUUCAUGAUGUGCAGUCAGGCCCGAGAACUUCACCCUUCUAUCUCCAAUUGAACUCUUUUCUAGAAAAUGUCUGUUUUUGUUGUUUUUCUGUCGUGAAAUUUAGCAAAUGCCGAAAACGCUGUGUUCAUCAUAUUUCUGCGUUACAAAACCUAAUCUGGCAACAUGUUCAGUGUUUUAAGCACGUUGUUUGAGUUUUAAAACAUGUGUUUUUCUUCUAAAUAAACGUUGUCUUCCAUUGUAA